RNAcentral lists this microRNA precursor (103 nucleotides) under Marmota monax (woodchuck). Lineage: Eukaryota; Metazoa; Chordata; Mammalia; Rodentia; Sciuridae. The record is from RNAcentral.
AGUGGGAUAGCUGGGUCAAAUGGCAGUUCCAUUCCAAGUUUACUAAGGAAUCUCUAUACUGCUUUCCAGAGUGGUUGUACCAAUUUGCAGUCCUACCAGCCAU